This 329-nucleotide unclassified non-coding RNA is filed under the name soil metagenome. RNAcentral describes it as "partial contains 5.8S ribosomal RNA, internal transcribed spacer 2, and large subunit ribosomal RNA". The stretch from base 1 to 120 matches the Rfam family "5.8S ribosomal RNA", at positions 35 to 154 of the family's 154-position model. The record is from RNAcentral.
GAUGAAGAACGUAGCGAAAUGCGAUAAGUAAUGUGAAUUGCAGAAUUCAGUGAAUCAUCGAAUCUUUGAACGCACAUUGCGCCCCUUGGUAUUCCGAGGGGCAUGCCUGUUCGAGCGUCAUUACAACCCCUCAAGCUCUGCUUGGUGUUGGGGCCUGCCGCACCGGCAGCCCUUAAAAUCAGUGGCGGCGCCAUCUGGCUCUGAGCGUAGUAAAUCUAAUCGCUAUAGACACCUGGUGGACACUCGCCAGAACCCCCCCAUUUUUUAAUGAUUGACCUCGGAUUAGGUAGGGAUACCCGCUGAACUUAAGCAUAUCAAUAAGCGGAGGA